GCCAUCAUUAUACCCUGAUCCCAUCCAACUCUGCACGGGGUACACAUGCUUUCAUCCGUAUUUGGUGGAAAUUCCAUCAAGGCACUUUGUAUUUAUUUUUACAUCCUUUGAUGGGCAAGUUCUGGUUAAGGAACCAAAACCAUGAUUGAGAAACUCGAACCUAAAUGAAAACUUUUGACUCAAUAUUUACAUCCAACGGUAUUCAUUCCAAUUUGUUCUACAAAUGUUUGGAUUUUGCGUCCCGUUUUUGUUGUGAUAUUUGGUUGUCGGAAAGCAUUGAAGUUGAAAUGUGUCUCCCUUUCACUUGCUUGGAAGUAGUAUUUGUGCUAACUCCCGACUGGUUCUUUCGUAAGAUAGGAAGUAUUUUCUACCUCCCUUUUGGACAAAGGCUGCUUGGCUAUAAAUUCACUGUUUUAAUGGAAAUUUUGUGUGCUUGUGUCGGCUUAUUUUCUUAUGCAAGUGCCUGAGACAAAAGACCUUGGUGAUGCCCUUGGAUUUGGAUCUGCCUUCAUCUUUUCUUCUGUAUUCGGUAUACGCUUGGCAGCGACUCGUAAAUUAAUUCCUGCAGGGCCUUUACUGGGUCUUUCUGUUUGUGCAUUGGCUGUGUUUAUCUCAAGCCUAUCUGCAAGAUAGGAUCUAAUCCUGGUCACGUUUUGAGGUCUCUCGCUAGGACAUCGGCAACGUUUUGCACAUAAAUGUUAACGGGAUAAAGAGAUGUAAGAGUCUGUGUGGACCUCUGUAACUUCUGUUAUUCUGUAAGCUGAGUUUUUAUUUUAUUUUUAUUUUUUUUUUAACCCUUGCAUUGUACAUGCACUUCUUGUUUGUGGAUGUACUAGUACUUUCUGAUGUUUGUCUUAUGUGUGGUGUUUACUGCUUUU
Molecule: long non-coding RNA, 878 nt
Organism: Magnolia sinica
Lineage: Eukaryota; Viridiplantae; Streptophyta; Magnoliopsida; Magnoliales; Magnoliaceae
Exons: 2
Source: RefSeq, a predicted model, not a curated record